Molecule: ribosomal RNA, 492 nt
Filed under: uncultured bacterium
Lineage: Bacteria
Description: partial 16S ribosomal RNA
Rfam family: Bacterial small subunit ribosomal RNA
Source: RNAcentral
AGUGAACGCUGGCGGUAGGCCUAACACAUGCAAGUCGAACGGCAGCACAGUAAGAGCUUGCUCUUACGGGUGGCGAGUGGCGGACGGGUGAGGAAUACAUCGGAAUCUACUUUUUCGUGGGGGAUAACGUAGGGAAACUUACGCUAAUACCGCAUACGACCUAUGGGUGAAAGCAGGGGAUCUUCGGACCUUGCGCGAUUGAAUGAGCCGAUGUCGGAUUAGCUAGUUGGCGGGGUAAAGGCCCACCAAGGCGACGAUCCGUAGCUGGUCUGAGAGGAUGAGCAGCCACACUGGAACUGAGACACGGUCCAGACUCCUACGGGAGGCAGCAGUGGGGAAUAUUGGACAAAGGGCGCAAGCCUGAUCCAGCCAUACCGCGUGGGUGAAGAAGGCCUUCGGGUUGUAAAGCCCUUUUGUUGGGAAAGAAAAGCAGCAGGUUAAUACCCCGCUGUUCUGACGGUACCCAAAGAAUAAGCACCGGCUAACUUCGUG